CUGAAAUAAAAAGAGGCUCUGCUUCAGAGAGGAAACGCUCUAUUUUCUGAGAAGGCUGAUUUAAAAUGUAUAGCUGCCACGUGUGUGUCUGGAUGACCGGUUCCACUCUGUGACCUUCCUGGAGUAACACCAAAAGCCUAUUUCAUCUCCUCCUUGAGCUGUGGCUUCUUGAACUGGGCCACAGGAGCGAGUUGCUGGGAAACCAGGCAUACACAGCCAAAUUGCUCAGUUUUGCCAGAUGUCUUGUGGAGUGAAUCAUGUAGCACUGGUGUCUGAACCAGCCCCACCACCUCCCCCAGCCUGCGCGGAGGCACGAACACAUACACAGAGCUCCAGCUUGAACUUCAUACGGUUCUAAGGCCCUUUCAUUGUCAGUCAUAGACUUGAGCUCCAACUCUUGCCAGAGGCUGUAGCGACACAAUGGAGGCUCUGUUUUUAAAACGAAAGCAUGGGGCUCAGACUUUUGUCUAGGUGAGGAAACGUAGACUAGCAAUUACCUGCCAGCAGAAGGCCUUAGAGGAGAGCUAUUGAUUUGACCAGGAGGUCAGGGGGGUCGACAGCUGCAGGGGAAGCGUGGAUGGGGGAGAGAACACAGCAAAUGUGUUGGAGGAGGGGUGGCCUUCAGGUGAGCGUACCCUCAACAAUGUAAAUGAAUGGUUCCUUAUUCAGACCUUGGUUACAUGAGCAGGUGUGUUUAAAACUAAGAAAAACUAUUUAUCAAGCUGACCUGUUGAUUUAAUAGCUGUAUAUAAGUCAUAAUAGAAGGCUUACAUGUACACCAAAAAAGCUAUUAACCUAUACUAGCAGCUAUAAAGAUGCAUCUUACCACUACAAGAGACAGUUCCGCAAAGUAUAUAUUCGAUGCUGUAUACUAGCCCAUCACUGUGUAGCACUCCGAGUCAUGUGAGUGCGGGGUUGCCCAGGUCAUGUGGU
Molecule: long non-coding RNA, 933 nt
Organism: Puntigrus tetrazona (Sumatra barb)
Lineage: Eukaryota; Metazoa; Chordata; Actinopteri; Cypriniformes; Cyprinidae
Exons: 3
Source: RefSeq, a predicted model, not a curated record